Molecule: ribosomal RNA, 430 nt
Filed under: uncultured bacterium
Lineage: Bacteria
Description: partial 16S ribosomal RNA
Rfam family: Bacterial small subunit ribosomal RNA
Source: RNAcentral
UAGGGAAUUUUCCGCAAUGGGCGAAAGCCUGACGGAGCGACGCCGCGUGAGGGAUGAAGGUCUUCGGAUUGUAAACCUCUUUUGACGGGGAAUAAAUGUAACAAAGCUAACAUCUUUGUUGCUUGACGGUACCCGUAGAAUAAGCUACGGCUAACUCUGUGCCAGCAGCCGCGGUAAUACGGGGGGUGCAAGCGUUAUUCGGAUUUAUUGGGCGUAAAGAGCGCGUAGGCGGUUUAUCAAGUCAGAUGUGAAAGCCCUGGGCUCAACCUGGGAAGUGCAUUUGAAACUAGUAGACUUGAGUAUGGGAGAGGGAAGUGGAAUUCCUGGUGUAGAGGUGAAAUUCGUAGAUAUCAGGAGGAACACCGGUGGCGAAGGCGGCUUCCUGGACCGAUACUGACGCUGAGACGCGAAAGCGUGGGGAGCAAACAGG